Molecule: ribosomal RNA, 279 nt
Filed under: uncultured bacterium
Lineage: Bacteria
Description: partial 16S ribosomal RNA
Rfam family: Bacterial small subunit ribosomal RNA
Source: RNAcentral
UGCCAGCAGCCGCGGUAAUACGGGGGAUGCCAGCGUUAUCCGGAAUCAUUGGGCGUAAAGCGCCUGUAGGUUGUUUAUUAAGUCUGUUGUUAAAGCCUAGGGCUUAACCCUAGAGAAGCAGUGGAAACUGGUAGACUAGAGUAUGGCAGGGGUAGAGGGAAUUUCUAGUGUAGCGGUGGAAUGCGGAGAUAUUAGAAAGAAAACCAGCGGCGAAGGCGCUCUACUGGACCAUCACUGACACUCAGAGGCGACAGCUAGGGUAGCAAAAGGGAUUAGAUC